This 446-nucleotide ribosomal RNA is filed under the name uncultured bacterium. RNAcentral describes it as "bacterial SSU rRNA". It matches the Rfam family "Bacterial small subunit ribosomal RNA", at positions 329 to 792 of the family's 1533-position model. The record is from RNAcentral.
CUCCAGACUCCUACGGGAGGCAGCAGUGGGGGAUAUUGCACAAUGGGGGGAACCCUGAUGCAGCGACGCCGCGUGAGUGAAGAAGUAUUUCGGUAUGUAAAGCUCUAUCAGCAGGGAAGAAAAUGACGGUACCUGACUAAGAAGCCCCGGCUAACUACGUGCCAGCAGCCGCGGUAAUACGUAGGGGGCAAGCGUUAUCCGGAUUUACUGGGUGUAAAGGGAGCGUAGACGGUGAAGCAAGUCUGAAGUGAAAGGCGGGGGCUCAACCCCCGGACUGCUUUGGAAACUGUUUGACUGGAGUGCAGGAGAGGUAAGUGGAAUUCCUAGUGUAGCGGUGAAAUGCGUAGAUAUUAGGAGGAACACCAGUGGCGAAGGCGGCUUACUGGACGGCAACUGACGCUGAGGCUCGAAAGCGUGGGGAGCAAACAGGAUUAGAUACCCCCGUA